UUAUAUUCAGAUCUUACUGAUGGAUUCCAUAUUAGUAACUGCAAAUUUCUUGUUUUGAGUGUACCUUAGGUCACUAUAUAAUGAUGGGGUUCUUUUAUUUUUCUUCUUUCGGUGUUUCUAAUCGUUCUAUUUGUGAACCAGCCAUAUAAAUGCUGUCUAACUAUGAUAAUCCUCAAGCUUAAAUAUGACUCUCUUCCGAAUUUCUUUUAUUUUCAAACUUGCUAUAUAUUUGGCUGAUGUAUAUCACAAUCUCUUUACACCAUCUUUAUUUCAGGUGGCCAGUAUGACAUUUGACUUGUUAUUGCUUCUAGUACUGGGAUCCUAUCUGAUAGUGCUCUUCAGUUUUCUUGUCAUCACAACUAGGGGUCUUGAUGAUCUAAUCAGUUUAUUUCGACGACCUCCCUCACGUAAAGUGAAAACAGCUUGAUUAGCAGAAGUAGGAUAUGUCAGGACUUUGCUUUUUUGGCACUGAAGACUAAAGAGUCUCUAUGUGGCUUAGAUUCGAAUGCCGAGUUAUUAGUAGUUCCAUUCUUGUUGUGUUGGUUAGUUUAUGUCACGAGGAUCAUCCAGCUGUUGGUAGUAGGGCAGACGCUUACAAUUUACAACUGAUUGGACCAGACUGAGAACUCAAGGUGAACCAUCAAGGUGACGAGGAAAUUUUUGUUGAGAUUCAUAUUUUAUUGAAGCUACAUUUCUGGGCAUAGAUUAUCUUUACUUUUGUGCAUGAUGAUGUAAUACCAACCAAAUAGAUGGUCAAAGGUGAAGAUAGAAUGAUUUUUCUACAGGUUUACUAGUUACAUGACCCAGUUGUAGCAACGCAUGCAGUUUUAGAUGUUAUAUUAUUUCUUUGGCACAAGCAGGGUUAUGAGUACCUAAUUUUCAGAAUGAUCUUUGUAGUAUGGGCAGAUUAAUUUGUCUCGUCUUUGUUGUGGGUCUGACCUUAUUGAGGUCUGUAGAAUGUGGACUGAUUCGUUUUAAAUAUUUUUGAAUCACACUUUUGGUCCCUAUUAUGUUUAA
Molecule: long non-coding RNA, 1017 nt
Organism: Rosa rugosa (rugosa rose)
Lineage: Eukaryota; Viridiplantae; Streptophyta; Magnoliopsida; Rosales; Rosaceae
Exons: 2
Source: RefSeq, a predicted model, not a curated record